CCUGAGUACUAAUUAUUACAAACUAUAUUCAAAAGCUAAUUUGAAUGAAAGGGUAAUGGUGAAAACAAAUAACAAAUGCAAAACAAGGGAGUAGGGAGAACUUUCAUGCUUCAGCUCUUAUUUCAACUUCCAAUGAAGGAAUACAUAUGCCUAAUUGUGAACAAGUACCUGGAGAGCAAGGAAAAUUAGAAGUGAGAAGAGUCAACAACAGUAGUGGGAAUCAUCAGCAACAACUCAAGCUCCAAACCCAAUUUCAAGCUUGAAACCCCUAGAUGUAUCACCAAAUCAAGCUUAUAAAACCAACUUCGAGAAAAUUGAAUUUCAAUUCGUUUAAAAAAAAAUCACAGGAACUAACAAAUGGCUUCAGUAAGUCCAAAUCCUUACAGUUCAAAGCAAAGACUCGAUGGAACAAUAAAUCUGAUUAUUUAGCCUAUUUCAAUUUUUCUGGAUUUCUCUUUUUUACUUUUUGAAAUCUAAACUCUAUAUUUCAAC
RNAcentral lists this long non-coding RNA (492 nucleotides) under Nicotiana benthamiana. RNAcentral describes it as "long non-coding RNA (NBEN_LNC022285)". The record is from RNAcentral. Lineage: Eukaryota; Viridiplantae; Streptophyta; Magnoliopsida; Solanales; Solanaceae.